Molecule: ribosomal RNA, 452 nt
Filed under: uncultured cyanobacterium
Lineage: Bacteria; Bacillati; Cyanobacteriota
Description: bacterial SSU rRNA
Rfam family: Bacterial small subunit ribosomal RNA
Source: RNAcentral
AAUGAACGCUGGCGGUAUGCUUAACACAUGCAAGUCGAACGAAGCACUUCGGUGCUUAGUGGCGGACGGGUGAGUAACGCGUGAGAACCUGCCUUCAGGAUGGGGACAACAGUUGGAAACGACUGCUAAUACCCGAUAGGCCGCAAGGUAAAGAUUUAUCGCCUGAAGAGGGGCUCGCGUCCGAUUAGCUAGUUGGUGGGGUAAAGGCUUACCAAGGCAGCGAUCGGUAGCUGGUCUGAGAGGACGAGCAGCCACACUGGGACUGAGACACGGCCCAGACUCCUACGGGAGGCAGCAGUGGGGAAUUUUCCGCAAUGGGCGCAAGCCUGACGGAGCAAUACCGCGUGAGGGAGGAAGGCUUUUGGGUUGUAAACCUCUUUUCUCAAGGAAGAAGACCUGACGGUACUUGAGGAAUCAGCAUCGGCUAACUCCGUGCCAGCAGCCGCCGCGGU